UCGAACGCAUAGCGCUACAGGGUUUUCCCUGUGGCACGUCUGGUUCAGGGUUGU
RNAcentral lists this ribosomal RNA (54 nucleotides) under Pristionchus sp. MJ-2005. RNAcentral's name for it is "5.8S ribosomal RNA". The record is from RNAcentral. Lineage: Eukaryota; Metazoa; Nematoda; Chromadorea; Rhabditida; Neodiplogasteridae.